AGCGAACGCUGGCGGCGUGCCUAACACAUGCAAGUCGAACGUGAACGGGGGCAACUCCUAGUAAAGUGGCGUACGGGUGAGUAACGCGUAGGUAAUCUACCCCAGAGUCUGGAAUAACCGGCCGAAAGGCUGGCUAAUACUGGAUAGAGCGACGGAAUCCGUAAUUGGGUUUUUCGGGAAAGGGGGCUCGCAAGAGCUCUUGCUUUGGGAUGAGCCUGCGUCUCAGUAGCUAGUUGGUAGGGUAACGGCCUACCAAGGCAUUGAUGGGUAGCUGGUCUGAGAGGAUGAUCAGCCACACUGGAACUGGAACACGGUCCAGAAUCCUACGGGAGGCAGCAGUGGGGAAUCUUGCGCAAUGGACGAAAGUCUGAAGCAGCCACGCCGCGUGAGUGAAGAAGACCUUCGGGUUGUAAAGCUCUGUCGGGCGGGACGAAAGGUUUGUGGGCUAAUACCCCAUAGAUUUGACGGUACCGCUAAAGGAAGCACCGGCUAACUCUGUGCCAGCAGCCGCGGUAA
Molecule: ribosomal RNA, 516 nt
Filed under: uncultured bacterium
Lineage: Bacteria
Description: partial 16S ribosomal RNA
Rfam family: Bacterial small subunit ribosomal RNA
Source: RNAcentral